This is a long non-coding RNA of Corvus hawaiiensis (hawaiian crow), 674 nucleotides long. RefSeq lists it as uncharacterized. Lineage: Eukaryota; Metazoa; Chordata; Aves; Passeriformes; Corvidae. The record is from RefSeq and is a predicted model, not a curated record. The transcript is spliced from 2 exons.
AGUGGGUUGCCCAGUUUAGGAUGACUUAAACACUGCUGCAACUCUCCACAAAACCAGGGGAAUGAUAAACUGUAACAUGCCUUGGGUGAGAGCAGGGGUAAGCAUCCCAAUUUGGUGUGAUGGGAAAGCUGGGAAAGACAAGAGUUGGAGAGGGGGUAAGAUGCUGUCUUGAUGGGGUAAGUGUGGUGGUAAGAGUGGGAAGGCAGGUGUUGAAUGGAUGAGCCCUGCUCUGUGGUAGCAGAAUGUGUGACAAAAAGGUGAGGUCAAGGCCACGGCUGGAGAAAUUGUGCCUAUGCAGGAGGCAGGGUGUUGCUAUUGCCAGCCAUGUAUGGCACCAUCUGCCUCUGCCCCCUUGCCAGUGCUGGCAGUUGAGCAAAGGUCUGUGAACAGCAGGUCUAUUGCAGAGCUUUUCUCCUUAUGUAAUAACCAGACCUUGUUUGACACGAUUCUGGUUUUCUGGGGGAUAAUCUUUAAGAGUCCUUCUUGCUUUUUACGUUCCAUUGUUUUUUCUGCAAUCUUCUUCUGCAGGUUUAAAAUGCGUUCAUCUUUCGUGGGCCUUUCACCAGACUGGGACUUUUUCUUUUCUUCUUGCCUGAAAAGUCAAAAAGAUACAAUGAGAAGGAUGCCAUGAUGACAAUAUCUGGAGUAUUUCAAGCCUGACAUGACAUUCUUCA